RNAcentral lists this ribosomal RNA (946 nucleotides) under Macrocybe sp. RNAcentral describes it as "partial large subunit ribosomal RNA". It matches the Rfam family "Eukaryotic large subunit ribosomal RNA", at positions 33 to 964 of the family's 3401-position model. Lineage: Eukaryota; Fungi; Basidiomycota; Agaricomycetes; Agaricales; Callistosporiaceae. The record is from RNAcentral.
AGUAGCAUAUCAAUAAGCGGAGGAAAAGAAACUAACAAGGAUUCCCCUAGUAACUGCGAGUGAAGCGGGAAGAGCUCAAAUUUAAAAUCUGACAGCCUUUGGCUGUCCGAGUUGUAAUCUAGAGAAGUGUUAUCCGCGCUGGACCGUGUACAAGUCUCCUGGAAUGGAACAUCAUAGAGGGUGAGAAUCCCGUCUUUGACACGGACUUCCAGGGCUUUUGUGAUACGCUCUCAAAGAGUCGAGUUGUUUGGGAAUGCAGCUCUAAAUGGGUGGUAAAUUCCAUCUAAAGCUAAAUAUUGGCGAGAGACCGAUAGCGAACAAGUACCGUGAGGGAAAGAUGAAAAGAACUUUGGAAAGAGAGUUAAACAGUACGUGAAAUUGUUGAAAGGGAAACGCUUGAAGUCAGUCGCAUUGACUAGGGAUCAACCUUGCUUUUUUGCUUGGUGUACUUCCUAGUUGAUGGGCCAGCAUCAAUUUUGACCAGUGGAUAAAGGUCAAAGGAAUGUGGCAUCUCUGGAUGUGUUAUAGCCUUUGAUUGUAUACAUUGGUUGGGAUUGAGGAACUCAGCACGCCGCAAGGCCGGGUUUCGACCACGAUCGUGCUUAGGAUGCUGGCAUAAUGGCUUUAAUCGACCCGUCUUGAAACACGGACCAAGGAGUCUAACAUGCCUGCGAGUAUUUGGGUGGCAAACCCAUGUGCGUAAUGAAAGUGAAGAUCAGGAUCUCUGUCAUGGAGAGCACUGAUGCCCGGACCAGACCUUUUGUGACGGAUCUGCGGUAGAGCAUGCAUGUUGGGACCCGAAAGAUGGUGAACUAUGCCUGAAUAGGGUGAAGCCAGAGGAAACUCUGGUGGAGGCUCGUAGCGAUUCUGACGUGCAAAUCGAUCGUCAAAUUUGGGUAUAGGGGCGAAAGACUAAUCGAACCAUCUAGUAGCUGGUUCUGCGUCU